This 85-nucleotide transfer RNA is filed under the name Clostridium sp. RNAcentral describes it as "tRNA-Tyr". It matches the Rfam family "tRNA". Rfam says of the family: Transfer RNA (tRNA) molecules are approximately 80 nucleotides in length. The record is from RNAcentral. Lineage: Bacteria; Bacillati; Bacillota; Clostridia; Eubacteriales; Clostridiaceae. RNAcentral also lists the same sequence under 3 other names.
GGUGGGGUUCCCGAGUGGCCAAAGGGGGCAGACUGUAAAUCUGUUGCAACUUGCUUCGAAGGUUCGAAUCCUUCUCCCACCACCA